Molecule: ribosomal RNA, 200 nt
Filed under: uncultured bacterium
Lineage: Bacteria
Description: partial 16S ribosomal RNA
Rfam family: Bacterial small subunit ribosomal RNA
Source: RNAcentral
AUUGAACGCUGGCGGCAGGCCUAACACAUGCAAGUCGAGCGCGAAAGUUCUUCGGAAUGAGUAAAGCGGCGGACGGGUGAGUAAUACAUGGGAAUCUGCCUGGUAGUGGGGGACAACGUUUCGAAAGGAACGCUAAUACCGCAUACGCCCUACGGGGAAAGGGGGGAUCGCAAGGACCUCUCGCUAUCAGAUGAGCCCAU